UACGGAGGGUGCGAGCGUUAAUCGGAAUAACUGGGCGUAAAGGGCACGCAGGCGGGCUUUUAAGUGAGGUGUUAAAUCCCCGGGCUUAACCUGGGAAUAGCAUUUCAGACUGGGAGUCUAGAGUACUUUAGGGAGGGGUAGAAUUCCACGUGUAGCGGUGAAAUGCGUAGCGAUGUGGAGGAAUACCGAAGGCGAAGGCAGCUCCUUGGGAAUGGACUGACGCUGAUGUGCGAAAGCGUGGGGAGCAAACAGG
This 253-nucleotide ribosomal RNA is filed under the name uncultured bacterium. RNAcentral's name for it is "partial 16S ribosomal RNA". It matches the Rfam family "Bacterial small subunit ribosomal RNA", at positions 524 to 776 of the family's 1533-position model. The record is from RNAcentral.